This 83-nucleotide transfer RNA is filed under the name Methanoregula sp. RNAcentral describes it as "tRNA-Leu". Lineage: Archaea; Methanobacteriati; Methanobacteriota; Methanomicrobia; Methanomicrobiales; Methanoregulaceae. The record is from RNAcentral.
GGGAGGAUAGGAUAGCUGGCCUAUUCCGCUGGACGUAAGAUCCGGUCAUGAGUGGCUCAUGGGUCAAAAUCCCAUUCCUCCCA